RNAcentral lists this unclassified non-coding RNA (393 nucleotides) under soil metagenome. RNAcentral describes it as "partial contains 5.8S ribosomal RNA, internal transcribed spacer 2, and large subunit ribosomal RNA". The stretch from base 1 to 122 matches the Rfam family "5.8S ribosomal RNA", at positions 35 to 154 of the family's 154-position model. The record is from RNAcentral.
GAUGAAGAACGUAGCGAAAUGCGAUACUUGGUGUGAAUUGCAGAAUCCCGUGAACCAUCGAGUCUUUGAACGCAAGUUGCGCCCGAAGCCACUAGGCCGAGGGCACGCCUGCCUGGGCGUCACACGUCGUUGCCCCCCCCCCAUCUACUCCUUCGGGAUUGCGGGGGGCGGAUGAUGGCCUCCCGUGCGCCUAGCCGCGCGGUUGGCAUAAAUACCAAGUCCUCGGCGACGCACGCCACGACAAUCGGUGGUUGCGAAACCUCGGUUGCCCGUCGUGUGCGUUCGUCGCGCAUCGAGGGCUCGAAAAAAUGCUCGGCUCCGGCUCGGCUUUCAACGCGACCCCAGGUCAGGCGGGGUUACCCGCUGAGUUUAAGCAUAUCAAUAAGCGGAGGA